AGGAAUAAUUUUUGUGUUAUGUCGUUAAGAUGGUUAUUAUUUUUUAUUUAAUUUAUUUAUUUUUGUUUCUUCUUUCUUUCUAUUUUUUUCUUUCCUUCUCCUUCCUUUCUUUAUCGUUUCCUUUUAGAUUACUCCUCUUUUGCUUUUAAUUUCUUUCCGUUAAUCUUACUACUACUCUAUUGAAAGAGUUGCGUAUUUUGUCG
Molecule: long non-coding RNA, 203 nt
Filed under: Gossypium raimondii (Peruvian cotton)
Lineage: Eukaryota; Viridiplantae; Streptophyta; Magnoliopsida; Malvales; Malvaceae
Description: long non-coding RNA (GRAI_LNC008200)
Source: RNAcentral